CCAAAGGCUCUUUUAAGAGCCACCCACUUACUCUCAAAAAGGAGCU
Non-coding RNA from Nestor notabilis (Kea), 46 nucleotides. The record is from Rfam. NCBI's taxonomy places the organism in Eukaryota, Metazoa, Chordata, Aves, Psittaciformes, Psittacidae.